GCACGGUCAUCAGAUAACAGUGUGUAAUGAAUGUGGCCACUGUUUAAAUUUGGGCAGGGAUAAAUUUCUUGCAGUAAAUUUUUCCCCCACAAGUAUGUUUUAUUGCAGAGAUCAAAAGGAGAAACAGUUUAACAUAUGUGCUACAACUGGGAGGAUCUAUUGUUCAUAUUGUGGGGCGACAGAGUUUACAGUGUAUGACAUGGUGGGAAGGUAUGCUACGGGGGAGCCUUUUAUUAGGGCGGUUUCCUCAGCUAACUCCCUUAGUAUUUUAGAUAAUAGCGAACAGGAGUGUGAUAUACUGAUCCCUUGUUUUGGUAAAUCUAGGUCUUGCAGUAUUAAGCUGAGGGCGACAUUUAGGGAGCUACUUUAUUUGACAGCGUCUGUUGAUAAUUUUAUUUGUCAAAAGUGUUCCAAUAAGGGUGAUGAAUAAAGACAGGGUCAAAGCUCCAGCUUUCCACCCAGAGCUCCAUAACAAGCUUUUGGAAAGGCUUAAGGCUGCCUAUGGAAAGGACAGUAUUGGCAAAGACCCAGAAGAAGCCCCAGUUCCCCUGUUGUUGCAUACCUGUGCAGUUAGAUUCUAUGAAGAGUACAAAGAAUUGACACGUGAUAACACAUUGCCUACAUUGGUAAACAAGAAAGGAUUCCCGGGGGAUGCCAAAAUGAUGGACCCUGUCUUGGGUAUCUAUCACUCUGGAAAAAAACAGGGAGCAUCAAGUGUCCCUUCCUCUUCUGGAGCAUUUGACGGAGGGAGCCACGGUGGCCCUCUACCUUCUGUUGAUCUUCCUCAAAGGGAGGGAGGCCUGUGGUACGGACUGGGCCCUGACAAGUCUGGACUGGGUUUUGUGCUCCCCUCUGAUCCAGGGUCUAUGUCUGACGGGAACAGCUUUAGGGUUAUUCCAGACCCCUCAUCUCUAACAGACAAGGAUGACCAGAACUUGGGGGAAUCGACCAAAACAAGGAGUGGAAAUGGAAAGAAAAAGUAGACCCUUGACCAAAGACUGUUAAAUGUAAAGCUGUUUUAUUCUUUUUAGAGUAGACAGCAUAUAUGAUGAAUGGUCGUGUACACUUUUGAUUAUCUUCUCAAUAAAUAAUAAUACAUUA
Molecule: non-coding RNA, 1101 nt
Filed under: synthetic construct
Source: RNAcentral